GCCGGGCGCAGUGGCGUGCGCCUGUAGUCCCAGCUACUCAGGAGGCUGAGGCAGGAGGAUCGCCUGAGCCCAGGAGUUCUGGGCUGUAGUGCGCUAUGCCGAUCAGGUGUCCUCACUAAGUUCGGCAUCAAUAUGGUGACCUCCCGGGAGCUGGGGACCACCAGGUUGCCAAAGGAGGGGUGAACCGGCCCAGGUCGGAAAUGGAGCAGGUCAAAAAUACCCACUAUGUCAUAGCAGACAAAGAAGCAAUAUGAAAGUCUUCUACUGGGUAGAUUUUCUUUUAU
Molecule: signal recognition particle RNA, 284 nt
Filed under: Suricata suricatta (meerkat)
Lineage: Eukaryota; Metazoa; Chordata; Mammalia; Carnivora; Herpestidae
Description: Metazoan signal recognition particle RNA (ENSSSUG00005022356.1)
Rfam family: Metazoan signal recognition particle RNA
About the family: The signal recognition particle (SRP) is a universally conserved ribonucleoprotein. It is involved in the co-translational targeting of proteins to membranes.
Source: Rfam by way of RNAcentral